This 253-nucleotide ribosomal RNA is filed under the name uncultured bacterium. RNAcentral's name for it is "partial 16S ribosomal RNA". It matches the Rfam family "Bacterial small subunit ribosomal RNA", at positions 524 to 776 of the family's 1533-position model. The record is from RNAcentral.
GACGAAGGUGGCGACCGUUGUUCGGAAUCACUGGGCAUAAAGAGCACGUAGGCGGCCAGGUAUGUCGGGUGUGAAAUCCCUCGGCCCAACCGAGGAAUUGCGCCCGAAACUACCCUGCUUGAGGAUGGAAGGGGAGCGUGGAAUUCCUGGUGGAGCGGUGAAAUGCGUUGAUAUCAGGAGGAACACCGGCGGCGAAGGCGACGCUCUGGUCCAUUACUGACGCUGAGGUGCGAAAGCCAGGGGAGCAAACGGG